Molecule: transfer RNA, 69 nt
Filed under: Rhodeus ocellatus
Lineage: Eukaryota; Metazoa; Chordata; Actinopteri; Cypriniformes; Acheilognathidae
Description: tRNA-Pro
Rfam family: tRNA
About the family: Transfer RNA (tRNA) molecules are approximately 80 nucleotides in length. Their secondary structure includes four short double-helical elements and three loops (D, anti-codon, and T loops).
Source: RNAcentral
CAGAAGAUAGUUUAAUUUAGAAUCUUGGCUUUGGGAGCCAGGGGUGGGAGUUAAAAUCUCCUUUUUCUG